GUUGCAGCUGAGCGCGAACUUGCUUAUCAGCAAAAAUAAGACAGAAAAGGAUCAGGACACGGAGAGACAUUGACACAUAAAUAUGUAUUUUGCACUUAGCAGCCCCUUUGAAAGAGGCACAAGGUAUGUUUGUGUGUAAAGAUGAGCAAUUUGGAAUGUUACAUGGAACUGAAUGUGUACAUUUGUUGAUUUUUAUUACUAAAGCUAAGGUCUGUCUUAUGGUUGUAAGAGUUAGCAUUUAUAGCUUACACGUUGCUUUGUGUUUUCUCGCUCUUACGGUGAAGUUUGAGGGUUUACUGCCAAUAAAUCCAAAAAACUCAUCAGAGGAAUACGGAUUGCAUUCACAGCUUCUUUGAGCCACAAAACAAACUGCUUUGGCCCUUUCACCAGGAGCAGGCCGAUUCCUGAUGACACUGUCACCCUCAACCAUGGAAGUGGAUAUAACCCUGCACGAGGUAUAUUCACAGCACCUCGCUCUGGACUCUGCUCCUUCUCCUUCUCGGUGUACUCGAAGGUGGGUGCAUCAGGUGAGAGGAUGUACUACAAGGUAUGACUCAUGAGAGAUGGGGAAGUGAUGGCCUCAACUUGGGAAGACAACAGGGAGGAUUCAGAGGACAGCAGCUCUCAGUCUUCUGUCACUGCAGCAAGGAGGCCAGAUGUAUGUAGAGCUGCUUAACGGCAGGCAGCUAUGUGGGAAUGCUGAGGGCCUGAACAGCUUUUCUGGCUCCUUAAUUUAUCACACUCUGCCCAAAUAAUGAUUUAUUUCUAUGUGGCUUCAGUGUUUCAUGGGUUUACUUUUUUGUGGAAAUUACCACAGGAAAAUAAAAAGCAUGCAUGCAGGAUGUUAAUGGCAUAUACUGUAUGUAACUGUGUGACCUUUUUUGAAGAUACAAUUCUGAAAUUGCACAUAUAUGUCUGUUUAAAGAAUAAUAAA
Acanthochromis polyacanthus (spiny chromis) is the source of this 934-nucleotide long non-coding RNA. RefSeq lists it as uncharacterized. The transcript has 3 exons. Lineage: Eukaryota; Metazoa; Chordata; Actinopteri; Pomacentridae. The record is from RefSeq and is a predicted model, not a curated record.